GAUCCUGGCUCAGGACGAACGCUGGCGGCGUGCUUAACACAUGCAAGUCGAACGGAAAGAGAUGAAAGAGCUUGCUCUUUUUAUUAAUUUCAGUGGCAAACGGGUGAGUAACACGUAAACAACCUGCCUUAAGGAUGGGGAUAACAGACGGAAGCGACUGCUAAUACCGAAUACGUUCUAAGCAUCGCAUGGUGCAUAGAAGAAAGGGUGGCCUCUACAAGAAAGCUAUCGCCUUAAGAGGGGUUUNCG
RNAcentral lists this ribosomal RNA (249 nucleotides) under uncultured bacterium. Its description in RNAcentral is "partial 16S ribosomal RNA". It matches the Rfam family "Bacterial small subunit ribosomal RNA", at positions 15 to 235 of the family's 1533-position model. The record is from RNAcentral.